CGCAGCAUCACGCCACAUAGGUGAACGCUGGCAGAUUGUGCUUACCUUUUAAGUCCCGCAUUAGAUGGUGGCGAGAAAAAAAAGCCUCUUACACACCAAAAUGAAAAUCCUCUGUCUGUUUGAGUGCUUAGGAAGCCGGCCAAAUAUACUCAGGUAUCAGAGCGUUGGCUCAAUAACCCCUGCAGGCGAUGAUGAAACAUCAUCGCCACCUCUCAUAUCUCGCUCUCGCUCACUCUCUUCCUCCCUCUAGUAGCUCUAGCGGCGCUCCUGGUUUGGACAAACACUCCCUGGCAUGCGUGGUAAUUAAUUAAAGAGAUGAAUUAGAGCAGGCCGUUUUUAAUGCCGACAGGGAGCGUUGAUACGGGCUCUGCGAAUGGGGAGCUUUGGGCAGAAAUGGAUCAUUCCGGGGGUUUAUAAAUGUAAUGUAGAAGUGAGGAUAGGGAUAAAGCCUAAUUCCCCUCAGCUCAUCGGAGCUCUUUUUAUCCUCCUGGUACUGUGCUGUUCUCGUAUGUCUCCCAUGUCUAUGUCUAUGCCAAACAACCAACCUUAAUGAGGUGGAAAGGGAGUUGGAUGACAGAAAGCAGCUGACAGACCAGGGCCCAUAGCAGUGCUGAUCUCAGAGUAGCAGUACUGAUUUAGGAUCAGUUUAGCCUUAUAGAUCACAAUGAAUAUGAUUACAAUGACAAGGGGGAGCUAGUCCUAGAUCGCUAUUCCUACUCUGAAGCAGCUUUGUGAAUACGGGCCCUGGAAGAAAGCUGUUGCCCAAUUCCUUGCACAGCAGUCGUUUCACCACAGGACCCUAGAGGUAUUACAGUCAAUGCUUAUGAACUGAGUAUAAGUGAAUUUCCAUAAAUCAAUGACACUUACAAAUAGGUAGAAUUGUUCAGCAACAUGUGCAGUAAAUGCUAACACGGCUUUGCAAAUGAAAGGUACAUAAUGUAUUUAUUGUCAUCUCCCUAUCAUGCUGUGACAUGGGCCUGGAUGAUGACAAAUGUUCUUCAAG
Molecule: long non-coding RNA, 1003 nt
Filed under: Salmo salar (Atlantic salmon)
Lineage: Eukaryota; Metazoa; Chordata; Actinopteri; Salmoniformes; Salmonidae
Description: lncRNA (ENSSSAG00000121383.1)
Source: RNAcentral